Molecule: small nuclear RNA, 103 nt
Organism: Cornus florida
Lineage: Eukaryota; Viridiplantae; Streptophyta; Magnoliopsida; Cornales; Cornaceae
Source: RefSeq, a predicted model, not a curated record
CUUGAAAUCGAGAAAUGGUCCGAAAUUGGAACUCUACAGAGAAUAUUAGCAUGGCCCCUGCACAAAGAUGACACGCACAAAUUGAGAAAUGGUCCAAAUUUUU